UGGCGGACGGGUGAGUAACGUCUGGGAAACUGCCCGAUGGAGGGGGAUAACUACUGGAAACGGUAGCUAAUACCGCAUAACGUCGCAAGACCAAAGAGGGGGACCUUCGGGCCUCUUGCCAUCGGAUGUGCCCAGAUGGGAUUAGCUAGUAGGUGGGGUAAUGGCUCACCUAGGCGACGAUCCCUAGCUGGUCUGAGAGGAUGACCAGCCACACUGGAACUGAGACACGGUCCAG
This 235-nucleotide ribosomal RNA is filed under the name uncultured bacterium. RNAcentral describes it as "partial 16S ribosomal RNA". It matches the Rfam family "Bacterial small subunit ribosomal RNA", at positions 96 to 334 of the family's 1533-position model. The record is from RNAcentral.